Molecule: ribosomal RNA, 253 nt
Filed under: uncultured bacterium
Lineage: Bacteria
Description: partial 16S ribosomal RNA
Rfam family: Bacterial small subunit ribosomal RNA
Source: RNAcentral
UACGGAGGGUCCAAGCGUUAUCCGGAAUCAUUGGGUUUAAAGGGUCCGUAGGCGGCCCGGUAAGUCAGUGGUGAAAUCUCCCCGCUCAACGGGGAAACGGCCAUUGAUACUGCCGGGCUUGAAUUACCAGGAAGUAACUAGAAUAUGUAGUGUAGCGGUGAAAUGCUUAGAUAUUACAUGGAAUACCAAUUGCGAAGGCAGGUUACCACUGGUAUAUUGACGCUGAUGGACGAAAGCGUGGGUAGCGAACAGG